Molecule: long non-coding RNA, 575 nt
Organism: Poecilia latipinna (sailfin molly)
Lineage: Eukaryota; Metazoa; Chordata; Actinopteri; Cyprinodontiformes; Poeciliidae
Exons: 3
Source: RefSeq, a predicted model, not a curated record
UAAAAUAGAAUGAAUUAAACUAAGAAAUAAAAGUUAAAACAUUAUCAUGCCCAAGUGACAUGCAAUUUUAUAUUAUCUGUUCGAAAAGGAGCAGGUAGAAGAUACAAUAUCUUAUAAUGUCCUGCCCUUUUCAUACUCAUCAACUUAUAAUCAGUUAAAUGUCGAAACACCAAAACAACGAAUUUCCACCUUACAUGAUAUUUAAAUCUCACAUCUUUAGAUGGACAAUUAUUUAAACACUUUUUAUAUCAUCAGUAACAUUUAUGGACUUUAAAACAUUCGUCUUAUAGAUCAUAUUUCCCAAUAAGCUCCUUUUUAAACAGUCUUUUAAGCUGGUUUGUAUUUGUACUUUUUUUAAACUCAUUCAAUCCAUUUCAUACAUCUACUCCACACACCAAUAAACAAAAACUCUUCUUGUUCUUAAUACAUUGUUUUUUAAAAUGUCCUUGUCACAAAACAUUUUUUGUAUAUUGGGUGGAAGUUGAUGAUUUCUUACCUUAAACAUGUACAGUUUUAAAUGUUACAAGGUCCCAGAAUUUCAGUAUAUUUGAUUUAAAAAAUAACAGGUUUGUGUU